GAUGAACGCUGGCGGUAUGCUUAACACAUGCAAGUCGAACGGUCACUUCGGUGAUAGUGGCAGACGGGUGAGUAACGCGUGAGAAUCUGUCUUCAGGUCGGGGACAACAGUUAGAAAUGACUGCUAAUACCGGAUGUGCCUUUGGGUGAAAGAUUUAUUGCCUGAAAAAGAGCUCGCGUCAGAUUAGCUAGUAGGUGGUGUAAGAGACUACCUAGGCUCCGAUCUGUAGCUGGUCUGAGAGGACGAUCAGCCACACUGGAACUGAGACACGGUCCAGACUCCUACGGGAGGCAGCAGUGGGGAAUUUUCCGAAAUGGGCGAAAGCCUGACGGAGCAAUACCGCGUGAGGGACGAAGGCUUUUGGGUCGUAAACCUCUUUUCUCAAGGAAGAUGAUGACGGUACUUGAGGAAUAAGCAUCGGCUAACUCUGUG
RNAcentral lists this ribosomal RNA (432 nucleotides) under uncultured bacterium. RNAcentral's name for it is "partial 16S ribosomal RNA". It matches the Rfam family "Bacterial small subunit ribosomal RNA", at positions 28 to 507 of the family's 1533-position model. The record is from RNAcentral.